UACGAGGGGUCCUAGCGUUGUUCGGAAUCAUUGGGCGUAAAGCGGGUGUAGGCGGCCAUUCAAGUGAGGUGUGAAAUCCCUGGGCUUAACCUAGGAAGUGCAUUUCAUACUGUUUGGCUUGAGUACGGGAGAGGGUAGUAGAAUUCCUGGUGUAGUGGUGAAAUACGUAGAUAUCAGGAGGAAUACCGGUGGCGAAGGCGGCUACCUGGCCCAGUACUGACGCUCAGACCCGAAAGCGUGGGGAUCAAACAGG
Molecule: ribosomal RNA, 253 nt
Filed under: uncultured bacterium
Lineage: Bacteria
Description: partial 16S ribosomal RNA
Rfam family: Bacterial small subunit ribosomal RNA
Source: RNAcentral